GAUGAACGCUGGCGGCGUGCCUAAUACAUGCAAGUCGAGCGAACAGACGAGGAGCUUGCUCCUCUGACGUUAGCGGCGGACGGGUGAGUAACACGUGGAUAACCUACCUAUAAGACUGGGAUAACUUCGGGAAACCGGAGCUAAUACCGGAUAAUAUAUUGAACCGCAUGGUUCAAUAGUGAAAGACGGUUUUGCUGUCACUUAUAGAUGGAUCCGCGCCGCAUUAGCUAGUUGGUAAGGUAACGGCUUACCAAGGCAACGAUGCGUAGCCGACCUGAGAGGGUGAUCGGCCACACUGGAACUGAGACACGGUCCAGACUCCUACGGGAGGCAGCAGUAGGGAAUCUUCCGCAAAGGGCGAAAGCCUGACGGAGCAACGCCGAGUGAGUGAUGAAGGUCUUCGGAUCGUAAAACUCUGUUAUUAGGGAAGAACAAAUGUGUAAGUAACUAUGCACGUCUUGACGGUACCUAAUCAGAAAGCCACGGCUAACUACGUG
RNAcentral lists this ribosomal RNA (497 nucleotides) under uncultured bacterium. RNAcentral describes it as "partial 16S ribosomal RNA". It matches the Rfam family "Bacterial small subunit ribosomal RNA", at positions 28 to 507 of the family's 1533-position model. The record is from RNAcentral.